GGGACACCACCACUGGCAUGAACACUGACCGCUACACCAGAGACAGCCAGACUCAACAACUGUGUGUUGGACUUUUGUCAUAAUAAAUCACUUCAUGAGGACGCCUCAAUUUUCAGUCUUAAACCAGCCAAAAGGCAGAAGAGAACCCACAAUUUCUGGAACCACACCACAGGUGUGGACUCUAACCGCUACACCAUAGCGGGACAGACACAGAACCUGAGUGUUGGACUUUUGUCAUAAUAAAUGACUUCAUGAGGCUUUUCAGCCUUAAACCAACAAAAAUGCAGAACAGAACAGAACAGAACCCACACCUUCUGGGCCGCCACCACUGGCAUGAACUCUAACCACUACACCACAGAGGGACAGACUCAACAUCUGUGUGUUGGACUUUUGUCAUCAUAAAUCACUUCAUGAGGCUGCAGAAAUUUUUUGUCUUAAACCAGACAAAAGACAGAAGAGAACCGACACCUUCUGGAACCCCAACACUGGCUUUAAUCAAUACACCACAGAGGGACUGAUGCCAAUACUGUGUGUUGGACUUUUGUUAUCAUAAAUCACUUCAUAAGGAGGCAGCACUUCUGUGUCAUAAACCAGCCAAAAGGCAGAAAAGAACCCACACCUCUUCGAACCCCAAGACUGGCAGGAACGCUAACAAGAACCACUAAACCACAAUGCUACAGAAGGAGCACCUGUGUGUGUGUGUGUGUGUGUUUGGACUUCAUGAAACACUUCCAAUACAACAGCACAGUUUAUUCUUAAUCCAGCCAAAAGGUAGACUAGAACCUGAACCAUCAGUUAUAGCACUCUCUAACCACUACACCACAGAAGGAACAAGUAAAAACAACAAAUAAGAAAAACCUGGACCUGACGCUGAUACGAGGAACGUUAGAUGCAGGUCAGUGUUGUGGUUACCUUCCUUUUACAGUAGAGUAUAGUACAGUGUGGUGUAGUAUAGUAUUGUGUAAUAUAGUACAGUACAGUGUGGUAUAGUAUAGUAUAUGUUAGUAUAGUAUAGUAUAGUGUAAUAUAGUACAGUACAGUGUGGUAUAGUAUAGUGUAAUAUAGUACAGUACAGUGUAGUAUAGUAUAGUAUAGUGUAAUAUAGUAUAGUACAGUACAGUGUGGUGUAGUAUAGUAUAGUGUAAUAUAGUACAGUACAGUGUGGUAUAGUAUAGUGUAAUAUAGUACAGUACAGUGUGGUAUAGCAUAGUGUAAUAUAGUACAGUACAGUGUGGUAUAGUAUAGUGUAAUAUAGUACAGUACAGUGUGGUAUAGUAUAGUGUAAUAUAAGUACAGUACAGUGUGGUAUAGUAUAGUGUAAUAUAGUACAGUACAGUGUGGUAUAGUAUAGUACAUGUUAAUAUAGUACAGUACAGUGUGGUAUAGUAUAGUGUAAUAUAGUACAGUACAGUGUGGUAUAGUAUAGUGUAAUAUAGUACAGUACAGUGUGGUAUAGUAUAGUGUAAUAUAGUACAGUACAGUGUGGUAUAGUAUAGUGUAAUAUAGUACAGUACAGUGUGGUAUAGUAUAGUGUAAUAUAGUACAGUACAGUGUGGUAUAGUAUAGUGUAAUAUAGUACAGUACAGUGGUAUAGUAUAGUAUAGUGUAAUAUAGUAUAGUACAGUACAGUGUGGUGUAGUACUGUGUAAUAUGUAAAAUAAAUGCAUUUCCAUCUACUUUAACUGAUCUCAACCAUACAAAUGUUUACGCUUGUUUGACCAAAUCACCUGUCAGUCAGCUCACUCAAACAUUUUGUAUCUGUUUCCUCAGCAGUGUUGUUUGUCCUAAUGUUGUAUGCAUCUUGCUCUGAACGACUGACUCUACUAUCUGUACUAUGUUUUACAUUUUUAGUGCUUGAUUGUUUGUCGUUUUUCACUUUUUGUGUUAGUUCAUUCUUUAUGUGUUAUUGUAUUAGUAUUGUAAAGCAUCGCUCAGCGUUGGAAAGGCGCUAUAUAAAUGAAACAUAUAUGUAUACACUCAGACAGAUACUCUCUCUCUCUCUUCUCGUCUCGUCCUCCCUCCACUGCUCGUCGUCUGCUCCACUCGGAGAUGAAGUUUGUUUGUUUCUGCAUCGUGAGCUGUAAUUAACGUUUCACUAAUUACUGUGAUUUACACUGACAAAGAGGCAGAGAGGAGAAUAAACACCCCGAAUCACUCGCAUAACUUUAAUAUGCACUGACUGACAUUAAACACACACACACACACAGUCCUCAAUAUGGAAGCAUUUAGAUUAUUUUGUACACGUUUCAUUUCAACACUUGAAACACUCUGUGUACAUUUAUUAGCUGUGAAAGUCGUACGUUUUGUAUCACAGCCCUCUGAGUUUGGAGGGAAAAACUUCAUCUUGACGUUUUUACCAUGCGGAAAAUCCAGAAAUCAUCCUAAACAUCUCGUUCAUUUAUAUAAUAUAGAUAAUGUGCCUUAAAAUGAUCUAUUAAAAACAUCGGUGUUAUCAUUUAACUGGUAAUGAAGUGCUUACUUCUUCAGGUUUAGUGUGUGCGUGUGUGGUGAUGAUGAAGUCAUCUUCUUGUUUAUAGUUCAUUAUAGAAAGUGGAACAGUUUUCCAGCACCUUCAGGACGGAGGAGUUUACGUUUCUUUGCGGUUUCUCGGUAACAUGACGAGCUGUGUUCGGAUGUUUAUAGCUGUUAUAACGUACGUGAGGACAGGAACUAUAAACGGAUAAAAAGUACGACGUAUCGUUCUGGGGUACUGUAAAUACAUUUGGAAUUUAAUGACUGUAAUGGUGGUAAUUGUGACUCUGGUUUAAUGCCUGGAAGCAGUGCGGCUCGACAGUUUCUGUAUUUGUGUUUUAGUAAUAUUCCGUCUCUGGUUGUGAACUUCGGCUCUAGUCUGGAUUACGAGUAUGGAUUUAACCUUGUUAAUCAUUAAUCGCAAAAAAAAAAAAAAAAAAAAAUGCCUUGAUGAAAAAUCAAUCUGCGAUGUUUCUACCCAAAAGUACAAAAAAGAGGUCAGACGAAUUACAGAGAGAUUAAUUUAUCACCUCUGAUGUGAUUUAGUGCAGUCUGAAGAUCACUUCAGGGACAAACAGUGCGAGUGUAAAUGAGUGAACGUGAAAACCAGGCUCCUGCCGUCCUGAUCACAAUCACAAUCACACACGCCGAGUUCGGGGUCGCCGCAUACUGAAAUUACACACAUCGGUACUCAGAGGUCAGACGUACUGUAACUACUGACUAGAGCGCUAUUCGGAAGUUACGCACACUGCGGUGGAGUUCGGCUCGGGUAUGUCCGACUUAUUUCACGAAUGCGUUCAAAAACACUAAGGAAUAUCAAUAAUAUAUCGACACUGAAUAUUUAAGGAUGAUAUUAAAUACAUAAACACGCAAUAAAUUCAUCAUAUUGUCUUUGUAAAGUCCACUUUCUUUUUUCCUACUCAGAGACAUCGCUUACUUUGAGGAUUAUAUAUGGAUAAAAUGAUGAAUGUGAGCUGUAAGCAUAGGUCAGCUUAUCCUUCAAACCGCGGACACCUGUUCUUUACCGAAUGAACAGUAACACGGGCGUUCUUUAUUGACUCAAAACUAAAAGUGAAUUAAAAGUCAAAUAAAAUCGGCUGUACCGCGCGCACACGUUACGAUUUCAUGACCUCGAUUUAGUAUGUCACGGUUUUAUUAAGUUGUGCGGAGGAUAUGAAAAGGUAAAAUAUAAAAUAAUAUAACGUGCUGGACUCUGAACACGGCGAGAGCUGAAACAGGUCUCAUCGCCUCUCCUCACUCCGAGGAGCUCGUAUUACAGCCUACGUCCUCGCUACGUCUUUAUCGGACAUGCAGAAGGAACGUAGGAUGGAAAAAGAGCAGCGCUGAUAAUAACCCGGAGAACAUCACCGAUCUCCGAGGUCGUCCGUGUUCUGCAGGAGGUUCGGUGAUCUUCACCAAAAUAGUAUUCGCUAGAACGAGGACAUGCUACAUUUUUAGGAAAAAUAUUU
This is a long non-coding RNA of Ictalurus punctatus (channel catfish), 3941 nucleotides long. Lineage: Eukaryota; Metazoa; Chordata; Actinopteri; Siluriformes; Ictaluridae. The record is from Ensembl.